RNAcentral lists this long non-coding RNA (2116 nucleotides) under Homo sapiens (human). RNAcentral's name for it is "non-protein coding lnc-ISCU-1:3". The record is from RNAcentral. Lineage: Eukaryota; Metazoa; Chordata; Mammalia; Primates; Hominidae.
GGAGAAUGUGCCUUGCUCAAGGGCACACAGAGUAAUGGCAGAGCCAGGACUCAAGUCCAGGCACAUGAAAUAAUGUUCUUGAUCUUAACCCCUAGCCUGGGAUGGUGCAGGCUGAACGGUGAGCUCCAGCACAUCAGCAAUUACUAUAUGUAAGGAAAAAGGAGUAGCUUAGCAGCAGGAAUGAAGCCCAAGAAAAAUACUCCAAGUUGCCUUCCAAGAUUGAAGCAAUGAUAUCUGAGACCCUAUUGGUUCUCUUCUUCUGGAGAACGCUAAUAGAGAGGCUCUGUCCACGCAGAAAUGAUGGGAGCACAGGCUGGGGGAGUCACCGGGCAGGUGUGAGAAGUAGCUGGGAUAUGGAUGCACUGUGAAACCAGAGCCUGGGUGUGGGAUACGCAAGAAGAGAUGGGAGUCAAGGAGGCUCAGAGGUGGAAGAGCAUGAACUUCCUCCUGUAGACAAAAGGGAUAAUCACUUGUGUCUCCUUCAGAGACCUUGACAGAAAACAUCACUCUAGAAGCAAAACAGGGAACAGGCGGUUGGAGGCAGAGAAACCAGCUACAAGGCUGUUCGGACACUAGACUGUUAUCUACAUGGGGAGGCACCUGGCAGGUGGCCAGAUCCCCAGAUGGAAUCUCCACCUUGUGGUUUAUGAGGCAUUCUAGGCCACUGCCUCCUGAAGACACUGCUCAGGGUGGUAAGAACUCAUUUUGCAUUUGGGGAGCUGUAGGUGGGGAUGGUGAUAAGCAGCCCAGGAUUUUGUUCGCCAAGAGGUAUUAUUCCAACUUCCACAACCCAAAUAGCAUCUCUGCACGGAAAUGAAGCUGCAACAGCUCCCUGUCAUGGAUGGGGCACUUCCCAGUUCUCAGACUUCAUCACUAGAGCCCCCAAGCUUGGAUGUUGUUGCUGAACUCCCUCAAGGCACUAAGUGUUAGCCUGAGCACCUCUCCUGGCUGGACCAGGGGUCACUUGCUCCAUUACAGUUCUCUCCAGCUCGGUGACACUCUCACUGUAAAUGCAAGUUCUCACUCAGUGAAUGCCAAGACGAAUGCAACCCUACCUAGUGGGGUAGAGAUUAGGAAAUGGGCGAUGAGAGGCACAGGGCUCUUGGGAAGGGAGCCCUGCUGCUGGGGGCCUGAGAGACACCCAGUGGAGAGGAGCCUGGACAAACUUGGCAACCAGCCCCAACCACGUUCCGCAGCAUUUUGGGGGCCAGGCACCCUGUGUGUGAUCCCUUUCCACUGUAACCAGGCCUGCUCCCUGCUCUUCCCCUCGGAGACACAGAUGACUGCUCCUCUCUGGCAGCCCAAAGCUUUCUCUGCCCCCACAACUGCCUGGGGGCCUUUGAGCCACUUCUCCCCAGUUCUGUUCCAAACCCACCAGGAAGUCCUUCCCCAAAAGUCCACUUACUCUUUGAGAUCAGUGUGAGGAAGCUACUCUAAGAACAAAACUAAGCACCCGGUGGUGAGUGCCCAAGCUCAAGUGUGCAGAUUUUUUCUGACAGCAGAAUAGACCUGUCUACUUGCCUUCCAAGUUGAGUCCUGAAGUGGGUAACUUCCUCCUCUGACUUCUGCCCUCAGGCUCCCUGGGCAACGGCCCUGACGUUGCUUUCUAGCCCCUCACCAUGAAGCCUGUCAGGGAGCCGCGUGCCUCACCCUCUAUCUGCCCCUCACUAAACUCAGGAUCCUAAAAUCUGCCCUCUUACCCAUUUUCGUUCACAUGAAUUAAACUCCAACUACAAUGAAUUUGAAGGAUCCCAUCUGCCUCUCUAAACUCACCCCCCUCCACAUUUCAGCCAAUCCAACCAACUCAGCAGUCACCUUAUCCUCAAGGAUCUUGGGAUGCGCAGUAAUUCCCAUCUCCCACCCAGCCCUCCUGACACUCGCCACAGGGGAACUUUCAGCCGGCACACCACGGCCAGUGUCGCCUAGCGAACACACCCCCCCCCACCCCACACCCCAAAGUUCGAAGUUGAGAAUAAGCCAUUUGCUGGUGGACUCGGUUCCCACAGGAGGGAUGAGGACAGCUGCCAUCUGCACAUCAGCUGCCUAGGACUUAACAUUUCACACGUCACGUUUCAAAUAGAGGCAGCAGCUGCAGCUGAGAUGAAGCAUAUCAAAG